This 496-nucleotide ribosomal RNA is filed under the name uncultured bacterium. RNAcentral's name for it is "partial 16S ribosomal RNA". It matches the Rfam family "Bacterial small subunit ribosomal RNA", at positions 28 to 506 of the family's 1533-position model. The record is from RNAcentral.
GAUGAACGCUGGCGGCGUGCCUAAUACAUGCAAGUCGAGCGAACAGACGAGGAGCUUGCUCCUCUGACGUUAGCGGCGGACGGGUGAGUAAUACGUGGAUAACCUACCUAUAAGACUGGGAUAACUUCGGGAAACCGGAGCUAAUACCGGAUAAUAUAUUGAACCGCAUGGUUCAAUAGUGAAAGACGGUUUUGCUGUCACUUAUAGAUGGAUCCGCGCCGCAUUAGCUAGUUGGUAAGGUAACGGCUUACCAAGGCAACGAUGCGUAGCCGACCUGAGAGGGUGAUCGGCCACACUGGAACUGAGACACGGUCCAGACUCCUACGGGAGGCAGCAGUAGGGAAUCUUCCGCAAUGGGCGAAAGCUUGACGGAGCAACGCCGCGUGAGUGAUGAAGGUCUUCGGAUCGUAAAACUCUGUUAUUAGGGAAGAACAAAUGUGUAAGUAACUAUGCACGUCUUGACGGUACCUAAUCAGAAAGCCACGGCUAACUACGU